This 420-nucleotide ribosomal RNA is filed under the name uncultured bacterium. RNAcentral describes it as "bacterial SSU rRNA". It matches the Rfam family "Bacterial small subunit ribosomal RNA", at positions 355 to 773 of the family's 1533-position model. The record is from RNAcentral.
UAAGGAAUAUUGGUCAAUGGACGCAAGUCUGAACCAGCCAUGCCGCGUGAAGGAUGAAGGUCCUCUGGAUUGUAAACUUCUUUUAUCUGGGACGAAAACGGGAUUUUUAUCUCAAUUGACGGUACCAGAGGAAUAAGCACCGGCUAACUCCGUGCCAGCAGCCGCGGUAAUACGGAGGGUGCGAGCGUUAUCCGGAUUUACUGGGUUUAAAGGGUGCGUAGGUGGGCUUAUAAGUCAGUGGUGAAAUCUCCGAGCUUAACUUGGAAACUGCCGUUGAUACUAUAGGUCUUGAAUUAUCUGGAGGUAAGCGGAAUAUGUCAUGUAGCGGUGAAAUGCUUAGAUAUGACAUAGAACACCAAUUGCGAAGGCAGCUUACUACGUAUAAAUUGACGCUGAGGCACGAAAGCGUGGGGAUCAAAC